Molecule: non-coding RNA, 85 nt
Organism: Lophiostoma macrostomum CBS 122681
Lineage: Eukaryota; Fungi; Ascomycota; Dothideomycetes; Pleosporales; Lophiostomataceae
Source: the annotation of a GenBank genome assembly
GCAUCGAUAGUUUAGUGGUAGAAUUGAAGCUUCCCAUCCUCGUGGAGCUUGCUUCAGGCACGGGUUCGAGUAAGCCGUACAUGCA